AGCUAACGCGUGAAGUUGACCGCCUGGGGAGUACGGUCGCAAGAUUAAAACUCAAAGGAAUUGACGGGGACCCGCACAAGCGGUGGAUGAUGUGGAUUAAUUCGAUGCAACGCGAAAAACCUUACCUACCCUUGACAUGUCUGGAAUGCCGAAGAGAUUUGGCAGUGCUCGCAAGAGAACCGGAACACAGGUGCUGCAUGGCUGUCGUCAGCUCGUGUCGUGAGAUGUUGGGUUAAGUCCCGCAACGAGCGCAACCCUUGUCAUUAGUUGCUACGAAAGGGCACUCUAAUGAGACUGCCGGUGACAAACCGGAGGAAGGUGGGGAUGACGUCAAGUCCUCAUGGCCCUUAUGGGUAGGGCUUCACACGUCAUACAAUGGUCGGGACAGAGGGUCGCCAACCCGCGAGGGGGAGCCAAUCCCAGAAACCCGAUCGUAGUCCGGAUCGCAGUCUGCAACUCGACUGCGUGAAGUCGGAAUCGCUAGUAAUCGCGGAUCAGCAUGUCGCGGUGAAUACGUUCCCGG
Molecule: ribosomal RNA, 523 nt
Filed under: uncultured bacterium
Lineage: Bacteria
Description: bacterial SSU rRNA
Rfam family: Bacterial small subunit ribosomal RNA
Source: RNAcentral